RNAcentral lists this ribosomal RNA (429 nucleotides) under uncultured beta proteobacterium. RNAcentral describes it as "bacterial SSU rRNA". It matches the Rfam family "Bacterial small subunit ribosomal RNA", at positions 355 to 776 of the family's 1533-position model. Lineage: Bacteria; Pseudomonadati; Pseudomonadota; Betaproteobacteria. The record is from RNAcentral.
UGGGGAAUUUUGGACAAUGGGGGCAACCCUGAUCCAGCCAUGCCGCGUGCGGGAAGAAGGCCUUCGGGUUGUAAACCGCUUUCGGCCGGAACGAAAUCGCCGGGGAGAACAUCUCCGGUGGAUGACGGUACCGGAAGAAGAAGCACCGGCUAACUACGUGCCAGCAGCCGCGGUAAUACGUAGGGUGCGAGCGUUAAUCGGAAUUACUGGGCGUAAAGCGUGCGCAGGUGGUUCGCUAAGACAGAUGUGAAAUCCCCGGGCUCAACCUGGGAACUGCGUUUGUGACUGGCGGGCUAGAGUGCGGAAGAGGGAGGUGGAAUUCCACGUGUAGCAGUGAAAUGCGUAGAGAUGUGGAGGAACACCGAUGGCGAAGGCAGCCUCCUGGUCUAGCACUGACGCUCAUGCACGAAAGCGUGGGGAGCAAACAGG